AUUGAACGCUAGCGGGAUGCCUUACACAUGCAAGUCGAACGGCAGCACGGACUUCGUUCUGGUGGCGAGUUGCGAACGGGUGAGUAAUGUAUCGGAACGUGCCCAGUAUCGGGGGAUAACUACGCGAAAGCGUAGCUAAUACCGCAUACGCCCUACUGGUGAAACCAGUGGAUCGCAAGACCUUGCACUAUUUGAUCUGCCGAUAUCGGAUUAGCUAGUUGGUGGGGUAACGGCUCACCAAGGCGACGAUCCGUAGCUGGUUUGAGAGGACGACCAGCCACACUGGGACUGAGACACGGCCCAGACUCCUACGGGAGGCAGCAGUGGGGAAUCUUGGACAAUGGGGGAAAGCCUGAUCCAGCAAUCCCGCGUGUGCGAUGAAGGCCUUCGGGUUGUAAAGCACUGUUAGCAGGAAAGAAAAGACGCGGAUUAAUACCUGGAGAAACUGACGGUACCUGAAGAAUAAGCCCCGGCUAACUACGUG
RNAcentral lists this ribosomal RNA (484 nucleotides) under uncultured bacterium. RNAcentral describes it as "partial 16S ribosomal RNA". It matches the Rfam family "Bacterial small subunit ribosomal RNA", at positions 30 to 507 of the family's 1533-position model. The record is from RNAcentral.